Molecule: non-coding RNA, 72 nt
Organism: Bos taurus (domestic cattle)
Lineage: Eukaryota; Metazoa; Chordata; Mammalia; Artiodactyla; Bovidae
Source: Rfam
UCUCUGGUGGCUCAGUGGUACAGAAUCUGCCUGCAAUGCAGGAGACCUGGGUUCAAACCCUGGGUCGGGGAG